CGCCAGACUCCUACGGGAGGCAGCAGUGGGGAAUAUUGCACAAUGGGGGAAACCCUGAUGCAGCGACGCCGCGUGAGUGAAGAAGUAAUUCGUUAUGUAAAGCUCUAUCAGCAGGGAAGAAAAUGACGGUACCUGAGUAAGAAGCCCCGGCUAACUACGUGCCAGCAGCCGCGGUAAUACGUAGGGGGCGAGCGUUAUCCGGAUUCACUGGGUGUAAAGGGAGCGUAGGCGGACUUUUAAGUGAGAUGUGAAAUACUCGGGCUCAACUUGAGUGCUGCAUUUCAAACUGGAAGUCUAGAGUGCAGGAGAGGAGAAUGGAAUUCCUAGUGUAGCGGU
Molecule: ribosomal RNA, 336 nt
Filed under: uncultured bacterium
Lineage: Bacteria
Description: bacterial SSU rRNA
Rfam family: Bacterial small subunit ribosomal RNA
Source: RNAcentral